GACGAACGCUGGCGGCGUGCUUAACACAUGCAAGUCGAACGGAAAGGCCCUGCUUUUGUGGGGUGCUCGAGUGGCGAACGGGUGAGUAACACGUGAGUAACCUGCCCUUGACUUUGGGAUAACUUCAGGAAACUGGGGCUAAUACCGGAUAGGAGCUCCUGCUGCAUGGUGGGGGUUGGAAAGUUUCGGCGGUUGGGGAUGGACUCGCGGCUUAUCAGCUUGUUGGUGGGGUAGUGGCUUACCAAGGCUUUGACGGGUAGCCGGCCUGAGAGGGUGACCGGCCACAUUGGGACUGAGAUCCGGCCCAGACUCCUACGGGAGGCAGCAGUGGGGAAUAUGGCACAAUGGGCGGAAGCCUGAUGCAGCAACGCCGCGUGCGGGAUGCCGGCCUUCGGGUUGUAAACCGCUUUCGCCUGUGACGAAGCGUGAGUGACGGUAAUGGGUAAAGAAGCACCGGCUAACUACGU
This 467-nucleotide ribosomal RNA is filed under the name uncultured bacterium. RNAcentral describes it as "partial 16S ribosomal RNA". It matches the Rfam family "Bacterial small subunit ribosomal RNA", at positions 28 to 506 of the family's 1533-position model. The record is from RNAcentral.